This 72-nucleotide transfer RNA is filed under the name Spirochaetaceae bacterium. RNAcentral describes it as "tRNA-Gly". It matches the Rfam family "tRNA". Rfam says of the family: Transfer RNA (tRNA) molecules are approximately 80 nucleotides in length. Their secondary structure includes four short double-helical elements and three loops (D, anti-codon, and T loops). Lineage: Bacteria; Pseudomonadati; Spirochaetota; Spirochaetia; Spirochaetales; Spirochaetaceae. The record is from RNAcentral. RNAcentral also lists the same sequence under 1 other name.
GCGCCUGUCGUAUAAGGGUCAUUACCCGAGCCUUCCAAGCUCGUGAUGGCGGUUCGAGUCCGCUCGGGCGCU